UUUUUGACAAUUGUAAACGUCGUAAUUCCUGUUUCUACGUACGUGACAAUUCUCUUGUGGUGUGCGAACUCAAAUGUUGUGCCUCACAUUUUCGCGUUACGCGAAAACAAGAAAAAAGUGAUUGCAGCAGUCAAGGCAAAAAGUAAAGCAAAAUUGUCGUCCAACGAGCUUGUUGGCGGCGCGCGUCGAGUAAAAAAAGAGUGAAGCCGAACGCCAUGGCGUCUACAACAAAUAGUGGUCAACAAAAUGCCGGUAUAAAUACUAUGGUCGCGGAACGGUCAAAACUCUUCCCGCUAAAAAGUAUUGGUGAUGUUGUGAAAUUGUUUCGAUCGCAACUAGAAACACCGGAUCCAGAUUUAACGCUGCUCUCAAUCGUGGCUGGUUACAUUGAAAAUACGCUGACUUGUGCGGGAGGCGGUGGCGCUGGAACAGGUGGCGGAGCUGCCGGGCAGGACUCGGGAGGACAGGCGGCCUUGAACCUGGCCGAGAAAAUAAACGGCUUUCCAGUAGUGACUUUUGAGAUAGUGGAUGGCCUCUACAAGAAGUUCCAGACGGUGCUUUCCGUUUUCGACAAGCCAAAGUCGGCCAAGUAUCCAAAUCGGCUGGUGAUAAAGAGGAUUUCGGAUAUCAUAUGGAAUUCGUUGAUCCGUAGUUCAUACAAAGAUCGAGCGCAUUUACAGAACCUCUACAGUUAUCUAUCAGGCAAUAAACUAGAUUGCUUCGGCGUUGCGUUUGCCGUAGUGGCAGCUUGCCAGUUCCUGGGCUACCGAGGAGUUCACUUGGCUAUUUCGGAAGACCAUGCUUGGGUGGUUUUCGGGAAGAACCGUGUGGAGACGAUCGAAGUGACAUGGCACGGAAAAGGCCACGAAGACAAACGAGGGCAGGACGUGCUGGCAGGUUACGAGUCUCGGUCCUGGCUCUACUUGGCAGGGCACCCCGUCAUUUGUGACCGGUAUAUGGAAGUUGCGGCGCUGGUCUCGUCUAUAAAUCCAUCUCUAACGCUUACUAGUGAAUGCUUAGAGUUAGCUGAACUACAGCAACAGCUUUUAUGGCUGCUCUAUGACCAAAAGCAUUUGGAAAAGUACCCAAUGAUGCUAGGUAGCCUUGGUGAGUUUGAGGAGGUUUCGCCUUCUCCAGGACGUCCUUCCAGCGAGGAGCUGUACGCGGAGGCUACUAAGUCAGCUCAAAACUAUUACAAAAACCAUCACGUUUACCCGUAUACCUACCAAGGUGGUUACUACUAUCGGCAGAAUAUGUACCGUGAAGCGUUCGCGUCGUGGGCGAAUGCUAGCGACGUUAUCCGCCUCUACAAAUAUUCACGCGACGAUGAGGAAAUUUAUAAGGAGUUCCUGGAGAUUGCAAACGAAACAAUCCCGCAUGUGAUGAAAACGGAAAGUUCCGGUCACUCUGCGAAAAGCAUACUUCGGGAUUCUGUGUGCUUCGCGAAUUUGUUACGGUUCUACGAUGGAAUCUGCCAGUGGGAGGAAGGCAGCCUCACUCCAAUCCUGCAUAUAGGUUGGGCGAAGCCUCUCGUGAACAAUAUCUCGAAGUUCGACUACGACAUUAGAUCGCAAGUGAUUAUCAACUGCGCAAAAGACGACGAUGACGAGAAGGUGACAGGGAAAAACAACGAUGCUAGUGACAAGCAUAAGACGAAAGAGGAGGAGACCCCCAGUCAAUUGGAUGAAGGGAACAAUAAUUUUAUCAAAAGCGAUGAGGCUAAAACUGAAAACCCAACACUGGCUGCACUCACAGCUGCUUGCGGUGAAAAAAUUUUAAAUCCUGAGUUUCUCCUCCAAGGCGGAGGUCAACCCUUCGCUGACCAGAAGCAACGGAAGACUCCGGAUCCCAAUGACGCAAAUAGGCAGAGUGAGAACGACUUUAAAUCAUCGCAAAAUUCUAUUAAACUGGAAAAUAACACAAACAACAUUGAGCCUAAACUAGAGCUUAAGAACGAUAUAAUCUUAAAACAAAACGAAAGACUCGACUAUGAUGAGUACAAACCAAAACGACCGGUGAUCACCCUUUACAGCCAAAAGAUGAAAGGUCUUAAGGAUUUACUUCUUGCGGAAAAGUUAAACACACACGCAAUAUCAUUACAAGUGACGGCUCAAUCUCAGGUGGCGGGGAAAAAAGGUCGUGGAGACAAAUCACAUCAUCACAAUCAGAAUCACAAUCACCCGGCAUCGACAAAUAAUGCGCAAACUGUCGUAUCUGAGACAGAGACUUAUAGCCGUCCAAAACGGACGCGACGCGAAUAAGUGAAUGAAAUUAUUGAUUCGAUGGAGGGAAAUUACUAUAUGAUUAGGUGCCUUUUUAUCUUGAGAAUUCGAGGAUAUGUCAGAGCGUUAAUGAAGUAAUGGAUCGAGGCAACUUUUGCGGAGGAUGCACUGCUAGUUUCUGAAUUGUGUGAUGUGUAUCAUAAUUCUACCGCCUUUAAUGCAGAUAUCGAUAAUUUUCUAGAACGCAUGGAACUUUAUAUCUUAAUUUCAUGUUUUCCAGGAUUCACAUAAUUUAUGAAAGAUACUUAUUUUUCGCAUUUUUGGUAAGAUUGCGGAAUGAACAUUGUUGCUCUGUGAAGUAUAUUUGUUCCAGAAGUUAUGUUUUCUUAGGCGAAUAUAUAGGAAGGGGAACUCAUUGUUUUUGAAAACUUCAGAGAAAAUUAUCACUAAAUAUUUUCCCUUCAAAUAUGAGAGAAUGUUAUUUUUUAAUAGGUUAUUACGUAAACAUUGCUCGUCUGACGAGUUCCUUAUAGAGUCUUUAUUUUUAACUUUCCAACAUGGUUUGGAAGCAAAAACAACUUAUUAAAUAUUGAAAUCAAAUUCUAGUUUUACAUACACAAUAUUGAGUUGUGCGUUCUAGGUUUGACGUAACUUUCGCUUAAGUUAAUUGUAUGUGCUAUUAGUAUUUUAGUAUUUAAUCGUCUAUUGCUGGUGGUCAUAUAGAUGAGAAGUUCCGUAGUGGCAAACAAAAACAUCGUCGUAAAGCUAAACCAAUUUGUUCGAGUGAGUGAGUGAGUGAAGAUCGGAAAUUGAACAAUAAUCGCAAUUCAAAUUCAUCUAUAGAUGAGACAUACUAGGCAAUAACAAUUGCAACACACUCAUAUAAUUUCCAUAGUAAAAAAAGACCAUAGUUUUCUUCAAAUAUCGUAGAAAGAUUCAUUGGGAAGUUAACUCGAAUGAUUCAGGGUUAUUAAUUAAAUAUUGUCUCUGGCUUUUUGGCAUAAAUUUUAAUUUUUAAUACACAAAUUGCAGCUACGAAGUUCUCUUUGGGCCACUUAUAAUUAAUUUAACGAAUUUACUUCUCUAAGAAAUUUUGUAUUUCAUACAUUCUUCGUUUUAUUUUAUUAUUGAUAAAGAUAACUUAGUACAAACGUUGUGAUGUUGAUUAAAAGAAAUAAUUUCAUCACAAAUCUGCAGAAAAAUCAAAACAGAACUAUUGAUGGAUGUGAAAGAAAAAAUAUCCAUAAACUCUCUUACAUUGUGCUUAUUUACAAAGUCAUUUUGAUGUUAUUUUGUUUGUAGUAUCAUUUUACACAUGAUUGAAGCUAGAAAGUCUGGAAUUUAGAUGCUGUGGCUUUACAGUUUUUAAAAUUACCUAUUGUGUCCACGUUUAUUUGAGUUUAUUGUUACCAACUUGCCUCCAAAUUUUAUUCAGCGCCCUGUAUCCUUGCGUUUGGAAAAAAGUAAAGAAUUUCAUCACCGUCAAAGAUUGAUAGUGAAAAAAGAUGCGAGUAAUGAACCUGUUUGAGGACUAAAGCAUUCUCUGCGUAGCACUGAUAUUCUAUUAGUUAUUCAAACAAAACAUAUUCAAUAUAGAUAUUGAUAUUGAUUACUAUUCAAAUCAACUAAUAUCUUGCUGAGGUUGUGUUCAUAAUUAACAAGUUAUAAAUGUCUUUCGUUGAUGAACGCAAUAUGAAAAGGUCGUGGUCGUGGUCGUAGGUUCAAAAUUACAAUUUUUUUGUUUGUCACGUUUAGAGCGCAGCUAAAAUUGGUGUGGUUGGUUGAUUUUGGUCCGGCUCAAGCAAUUGGCCGAAACUUACCUUGGUCCCCCUAUAUACAUAUUUGUAACAUUCUCGUGAUAACUGAAUUGGCAGUGAAUGCCCUAAUAGCAGCUAUGUACUACAAGUGUCGUUUAAAAUGCAGCUUACGGCCAAUCAUAACUCCAGAAUAUUAAAAGAUACAUUUUUCUUUCGGUUAAUAAUUCGCACUUCUUGACUUUCAUAAUCUGCAAGUGAGAGGUCAACAUUCUCUAGGCACGACAUAAUUUCCCGAAUUGCUUCAUUAGUGUAUAUUUCGAUCUCAUCUCAUCAUCUUGUAGGAUUGAACGUACUUUUAACGCAAGGGUUAUCAUCGAACCUCAUUAUUUAUCUUCUUCGAUUGCAGUUUUACAUUUUAUUAUUAUUACAUAUUCGGUCGAAGACUUUGUCGCUGGGUCUAAGAGGAAUACAGGCCUGCAGGAAAAAAAAAUCAUUCAAGGGCAUCUCGGUUGGAAGUGGUUGCCCUUCAUUUUCAAUAUAACCGAAUUUUAUAUAUGUGUAGUUUCAGUUUUGCUUUGCCUUCGCAUCUUUCUCCGCUCGUGUAACUCCUAAAACUCUAACGUCAACUACGCUAGCUACAGGUUCUUGCUUUAAAGCAGGUCUUGCGACAUUAUGCUUUUUUCGUAUUCUAUCAGUAAUUCGGCCUGUUUUCCUAGAGUACGGUAUGACGUGACAUAGACGCUUGACGUGCUUGUUGCACCCCGGCUAUAAUUGGUUAAAUUUUUAACUUGCGUUUUUUGUCAGCUUGAAACUGAUUUUCCUUUUAAAGAUGUCGUUCUCCUUGACACACCAGUGCGAUUCCUUAGCUACUAUAUCGCUGAAGAAGCUGUUUUAUGGGAGGUUUUUCCCCUUCGGAAAGUAGUUUUGGUAUCUGUGUUAGCAACGACAACGAGUCAUUAGUUAACAGCUGCCCCACUAUUCAGUUCUAGAAAUCUUCAGCUAUAAUCUUCCGAUGAUGGUCGGCUUGCAUUGUGAGCUAGUUUACUACCAAUAAAUUUUCCUCCACUAACAUUAGACUUGGGGUAGAUUUAUUUUCUGCGCCUUUCCCAUUCCUCUGUUCCUUAAUUUGCCUGAUUCGCCACAUCGCUAUAUGUUGUCCCAAUGCUGCUGGACACUUUUUAUGAAUAAAGGUUUGUCUUUCUUUCUUACUUUCGUCACAUUUAAGUCCGGAAUAUAUUGCUCGUUCUAUCUGAUGACUUUUUCUAAAUUUCGCCGAUCAUUGUAUAGUAAUGAUUGGGGAUGAUGCCAUAACCCUGAUGAAGACAUAUGCAUUGGUGUAUUUUGGUCCCAAUUACUACCUUUCGAUUUCCAGUUUUUGGAGACUGUCCAUUUUUCGUUGCUGAUAAGAAUUCAAUGCAGGGCUCUCAGAUGUAUAGUAGGCAAAAUAGGAAUGCUUCGGAUGAAGAUAUUGGAGCUCUACUUCUCAUCCAUAUUAUAGGUGCAGUACCAAAAUUCCAUUCUCAUCCUACAAGUUAUAGUAAUUGUUAAUAGCUAAAUAGUCGCUAUGUCACAUCAAGUUUAGCAUAAAGAGGAAUUGAAAUAGUCAAGAUAGCACUGAGAAAGUAGACAUUAAAAUAAUAUGCCAUAUUUUCCAGAAGUUAAAAACUUUAGACUGACUGCGAAAUCUAAUGCGAUCCCUAAAACUGUGGGUAUAUUGUAAUUUGAAUUGAGAUUCUCUUGCUGAGUAGAAACGUAUUAACCUUGCUUGUUUGAGUUCUUUUCUCUUCAGAGGUUCAAGUCAGGACUGCGUGGCAAUUGUUUUUAUAGGAAAGCUCAAAUCCCUCUACAUUAUUUGCUAGAUUCGUUGUGUUCCUGCCUCCAGUUCAUUUUCUCAAUUACUUCCUUUGCAUCAAAUUCCUUUUUAACAGUGAUCUCUGGAGGAUUUUCCUCUUGAAUGGUGCGCAGUUUCUUUGCUUAUGAUUCAAGUUUCCGAAAUAAAUGAGGGCUGGCAAUAGAUGUUAUAGAGAAAAAAUUUCACAUCUUCACUGAGUAUUCAAUUUACUGAUAUGUAACAGGGCUAUCCUUCGCCAGGGAUAUAGGCCUGCUGUUUUCAAGUGAUUACAAACUUAUAUAAUACUUAUAUAGUUGUUUGCAUAACAUUAAACUGAAAGCACACAAAAGAGUGGAUAGAAAACAUGCUUUCUUUCCUUAACCGGGACUAUUCUCAUUGCGGGAUACGUAUUUUCUUCAGAACCAUAAGCAUACACCUUCUAUCGGUUCGCUUCCUAUGGAAUGAAUAAGGGAAAACUCGACCAUUUGUUUUAUUUGAACUGCUUAUUUUUAACGAAAGUACUCGCCAAUACUAUCAACACACUUCCGCCAUGUUAAUAGUAAAUAAUUUACCUCUUUGCUUUUGAGACUGCUGAAUAUAGAAGGCCGAUUUUAAUUUUAUCAAUUCGAACAUGAGAAUUUCCCAGCCCGCUUCAUAAUUCUAGAUUUUUACAAUGUUAUAACAGAGGCUUAGAGUUAAAAUUAUUUCGACUUUUAUUUGUCACAUUUACUUACCUGUUUACAAUGAUACUACUGAACAUAUGUAGAUUUACCUGAACUGGAUGAUUUCCUCGUGAAAUUAUUUUAUUUCGGUUCGGUUUGACAAACAUAUCUUAUCGGAGAUAAAACCUAUAUAUAUUUAAAUCUGACGAUUACUAACUUAAAUUUAAAUUAUUUUAUUGUUAUCGUGAUUUACGUAUUCCAUGUUGUAUCACAUUUCCUUAUAGAGGUGCUGCUUUUAUGCAUAGUCAUCUACACUAUUUUUUAUAUUUUAUUUUUUAUUUGAUCUUAUUGUAUCGAGGCAAUUAGCGGAUUAUUCAAUAUUAGCUUUUUGUAUCUUUUUUGUUAAAUUUUUGAAAAUUAUACACGAAAAUCACUUGGUCUGUGGAAGCUUAAAUUUUAUGAAAAAUAGAAUACCGAGGGAUUGAAUAGAUAUUUCUUGUUUUUGAAAUUCUACCUUUUACUUUUAUUUGAUUAUAAUUUCGCAUAAUCUCUGCGCAAUAUAUUUCCACGUUACUUUAUGCAUAAGCGGAGAAAUACUUUUCUCUCCCUUGCUUGAUUUCAUAACUUUUUUAUAUUACUUAUUUUUGAGAAUAAUGCAGUAUUGUAUAUGAAGAAAAAAUAUAAAGAUCCAUUGAAAACA
RNAcentral lists this unclassified non-coding RNA (7172 nucleotides) under Hermetia illucens (black soldier fly). Its description in RNAcentral is "menin, transcript variant X1". The record is from RNAcentral. Lineage: Eukaryota; Metazoa; Arthropoda; Insecta; Diptera; Stratiomyidae.